AAGAGGGGGGGGAACCUAGAGUCGGUGGGGGGGAAGCGAUGUUUGCCCGUCAGUCGAGUCCGGAGUGAGGAGCUCGGUCGCCGAAGCGGAGGGAGACUCUUGAGCUUCAUCUUGCCGCCGCCACGGCCACCGCCUGGACCUUUGCCCGGAGGGAGCUGCAGAGGGUCCAUCGCCGCCGUCCUCUGGAGGGCAGCGCGAUUGGGGGCCCGGACCUCCAGUCCGGGGGGGAUUUUUCGUCGUCCCCCUCCCCCCAACCAGGGAGCCCGAGCGGCCGCCAAACAAAGGUACCAGUCGCCGCCGCGGGAGGAGGAGGAGCCGGAGCCUCUGCCUCAGCAGCCGCUGGACCCGCCGCCCUUCUUCCCCAUCUCUCCCCCGGGCCUGCUGGUUUUGGGGGGGAGAAGGAGAGAGGGGACUCUGGACGUGCCAGGGUCAGAUCUCGCCUCCGAGGAAGGUGCAGCUGAACCUGGUGUUUUAGAGGAUACCUUGGUCCCAGAGUCAUCAUGAAGGCCCUUGAUGAGCCUCCCUAUUUGACAGUGGGCACUGAUGUGAGUGCUAAAUACAGAGGAGCCUUUUGUGAAGCCAAGAUCAAGACAGCAAAAAGACUUGUCAAAGUCAAGGUGACAUUUAGACAUGAUUCUUCAACAGUGGAAGUUCAGGAUGACCACAUAAAGGGCCCACUAAAGGUAGGAGCUAUUGUGGAAGUGAAGAAUCUUGAUGGUGCGUAUCAGGAAGCUGUUAUCAAUAAACUAACAGAUGCGAGUUGGUACACUGUAGUUUUUGAUGACGGAGAUGAGAAGACACUGAGACGAUCUUCACUGUGCCUGAAAGGAGAGAGGCAUUUUGCUGAAAGUGAAACAUUAGACCAGCUCCCACUCACCAACCCUGAGCAUUUUGGCACUCCAGUCAUAGGAAAGAAAACAAAUAGAGGAAGAAGAUCUAAUCAUAUACCAGAGGAAGAGUCUUCAUCAUCCUCCAGUGAUGAAGAUGAGGAUGAUAGGAAACAGAUUGAUGAGCUACUAGGCAAAGUUGUAUGUGUAGAUUACAUUAGUUUGGAUAAAAAGAAAGCACUGUGGUUUCCUGCAUUGGUGGUUUGUCCUGAUUGUAGUGAUGAGAUUGCUGUAAAAAAGGACAAUAUUCUUGUUCGAUCUUUCAAAGAUGGAAAAUUUACUUCAGUUCCAAGAAAAGAUGUCCAUGAAAUUACUAGUGACACUGCACCAAAGCCUGAUGCUGUUUUAAAGCAAGCCUUUGAACAGGCACUUGAAUUUCACAAAAGUAGAACUAUUCCUGCUAACUGGAAGACUGAAUUGAAAGAAGAUAGCUCUAGCAGUGAAGCAGAGGAAGAAGAGGAGGAGGAAGAUGAUGAAAAAGAAAAGGAGGAUAAUAGCAGUGAAGAAGAGGUAAGUGAAAACAGUUGAUACCUUUUAAAAUUAUAAAUAACAGUUGGGUUUCCCUUGUGGGUUAGGAUUUGGCAUUAAGUCAUUACUCAUAUAAGCAUUUUUAGUAUGAGAAAUAUUUCAUAAUCUUGUAUUUGAGAUCCUCAUAAUCAGAUAGUUUACUUGGUUACUUUAGAUAUAUGAUCCUGUGAAAUUGAAAAUAUUAAGUCUGAUUUUCCUAAUAACCUCAAAAACAUGUCUUAGUCUUCCUUUGCUGUUUUUAAUGAGAUGAUUAAGAAAGUAUCCACCAGGCUGGGCGCAGUGGCUCAGGCCUGUAAUCCUAGCACUUUGGGAGGCCGAGGCAGGCGGAUCACGAGGUCAGGAGAUCGAGACCAUCCUGGCUAACACGGUGAAACCCCGUCUUUACUAAAAAUACAAAAAAUUAGCCGGGGGUGGUGGUGGGCGCCUGUAGUCCCAGCUACUUGGGAGGCUGAGGCAGGAGAAUGGCAUGAAACCAAGAGACAGAGCUUGCAGUGAGCCAAGAUCGCGCCACUGCACUCCAGCCUGGGCGACAGAGCGAGACUCUGUCUCAAAAAAAAAAAAAAAAACGAAAACAAAAACAAAAAAACUUUCCAUCUAGGCCAGGCACAGUGACUCACGACCAUAAUCGUAGCACUUUGGGAGGGCAAGACAGGUGGCUCACUUGAACUCAGGAGUUCGAGACCAGACUGGGCAACAUGGUGAAACCCCAUCUCAACAAAAAUAAAAAUAAAAAUAAUUAGCAGGGCAUGUCAGUGCACUCCUGUAGCCCCACCUACUGAGGAGGCUGUGUUGGGAGGACGGCCUGAGCCUUGGAGGUGGAGGUUGCAAUGAGCCGUGAAUUUACCACUGCCCUACAUCCUGGGUGACAGAGUGAGACCCUGUCUUAUU
RNAcentral lists this small RNA (2303 nucleotides) under Pan troglodytes (chimpanzee). RNAcentral describes it as "retained intron". Lineage: Eukaryota; Metazoa; Chordata; Mammalia; Primates; Hominidae. The record is from RNAcentral.